RNAcentral lists this long non-coding RNA (2171 nucleotides) under Sus scrofa (pig). Its description in RNAcentral is "lncRNA (ENSSSCG00040043316.1, ENSSSCG00060017251.1, ENSSSCG00150006448.1, ENSSSCG00190026568.1)". The record is from RNAcentral. Lineage: Eukaryota; Metazoa; Chordata; Mammalia; Artiodactyla; Suidae.
UUCUUGAACUGCUCUUGCGGCAUAUGGAGUGGCCAUAGAAAAGGGGGGAAAAAAAAGUCACACAAGAAAGUCUGAAAUACUAAUUGUUGUUCUCUUUAUAUUACAACAGAAAUGUUCAUUUCUGAAUCUGUUUCUCAAAAUGUAGUCCUAAGAAACUAAUGUUUGAUUUCCUGUGAAGUUCUGUUUUAUGCCUUCAAUUGAUUUGUAUAAAUAGCUUAUUAGAAAGGCCAACUUAAAAUUGACGUUUAGAAUUUGGGCAGUGUCUUGAAUAUAUAAGUUCUCACCCCUCUGCUAGAUUUCACUUCGGUGUUAUUCAACUUGUGGUGGUGAGACAGGUAAAUACAAAUUCAAAGGGAAUUUAAGGAUAUGAUUAUUCCAGAAGCAAUUGUACUGAUAAUUAGUUGUUCCCGAGUUGUUCAAUAUGCUCUUAAUCUGUAUUUAUUCAAAAACUGUUAGCUCAGUGCCAGAAAGCUUUUAUUAUUUUACUUUUGGUUAAAUUCCAGAUAUGAAACUGGGAGAAGCUGAUACUGGAAAGAUGAUACUGGAGUCUGGGUUCUUGUUCAUGGCAGUUGAAGAAUGAACUCCACACACAGGAGCAAGCAAGCAAAGUCUUUAUUAAAGGAAAGCAGAUAGGAGUUCCCGUCGUGGUGCAGUGGUUAACGAAUCCGACUAGGAACCAUGAGGUUGUGGGUUCGAUCCCUGGCCUUGCUCAGUGGGUUAAGGAUCUGGCGUUGCCUUGAGCUGUGGUGUAGCUUGUAGGCGAGGCUUGGAUCCCGUGUUGCUGUGGCUCUGGUGUAGGCUGGCAGGAAGAGUUCCAAUUGGACCCCUAGCCUGGGAACCUCCAUAUGCUGCAGAAGUGGCCCUAGAAAAGGCAAAAAGACAAAAAUAAAUAAAUAAAUAAAAAUAAAGGAAAGCAGAUAGCUCCCAGAGCUGCUGGGAGAGGGGAGAAGAGCCCCCUUUCUCUAUUGUCCUAUAGGGGUUUUUAAUCUCUUAGUUGGGGGGGUACCAAUGUGGGGUCCAGAGAGAUGUGGUCUUCUCCCAUUGGCCUUACUCAGUUACCCAUAUCAGUCCUGUCCAAUAGGGUCUUAGGGGUGGAAAUGUCCAGUAAGUCUCAUAGUUUCUUUGUCCUUUUCUUCCCAUAAACUGAGUCACAGGGAGUUAGGGAUUAAUGUCCUUCUGAGCAUAGGUGCACUCCUUAUAGUAAACAAGGCCUAUGGGGAUGUUAUUCUCUGAAGCCUUUAAGCUACAAAUGUUAAUCCAUGGCCAUAUCAAAGAAUGCAUGGAUGUCCAAACUCCUACACUGACUACCUGAGAUAAUAUUCUGCUUCAAAGCGAUAAACCCUUACCCUCUAUUUUGCCAAAAUAAAAGGUUGGGAUUAAUACAUAAAGAAUUUGAAAUAGAAGUUCUGAAAUGCUGAAAAUUUGUCUCCUUUUCACAGCUUAUUCACAGUGUCUUUUGGAUGCAAGGUGUUUAUAAAAUGUACUGUAGUCAAAUUUACAUACAAACAAAAGAUUUUAAGAAAUGUGUUAUUUUAUUAUUUAAAAUGGAUAUUUGAAGGAAACUAAAUGAUUUUUCUGGAUGAAUUAUAAUUCCUCUCCACAAGGGCAUUUCAGUAGAAACAUGAGCUCUUAACAAUUAUAUUUGUUUAAAACAGGUAUGUGCUUUUUUAUGUAAUUUACACCAAAAAACUCCAAUACUUUAUUCAGUUCAGAUGCAUCUUAGGGCAUACAAGCCUACGUUUUACAAGUACAGAUUCUCACAUUCACAGAAAAAAUUAAAAACCAGCUAUACUAUUGUCAGGUAAUUACAUGGUUAUGGAUUUCAACUCAAACAAUUUCAGUAAUUUUUCAAUAAAACACCCAGUGACUUGAGUGCCUAGGUGUCCUUAUUUGCAUAAGAAAGGUUCUGACUAUUGAUAUAGCAUGGUACUCAUCUUUGUUUCCAUUGCUCCUCACUGGGACAUUUAAGACACAUCAGCCCUGCUAUACCCCUGCCACUGCAGAUGAUUUACUUCAUUCAAGAUUGCCAGAGGAAAGGCAAAGAUACUCCCAAAUUGUAAAAAACUCAACGAACAGUGGCAGGUAUGCUAAAAGUGGCAUACUGGAACAAAUCCAUGAGAGUGAAGCCCUAUUUUAUUCACUGGCAAGGUCAAGGGUGAGACCAAGAGUGU